GAUCCUGGCUCAGGAUGAACGCUAGCUACAGGCUUAACACAUGCAAGUCGAGGGGCAGCAUGAACUUAGCUUGCUAAGUUUGAUGGCGACCGGCGCACGGGUGAGUAACACGUAUCCAACCUGCCGAUGACUCGGGGAUAGCCUUUCGAAAGAAAGAUUAAUACCCGAUGGCAUAGUUCUUCCGCAUGGUAGAACUAUUAAAUAAUUUCGGUCAUCGAUGGGGACGCGUUCCAUUAGGUUGUUGGG
RNAcentral lists this ribosomal RNA (246 nucleotides) under uncultured bacterium. RNAcentral's name for it is "partial 16S ribosomal RNA". It matches the Rfam family "Bacterial small subunit ribosomal RNA", at positions 15 to 253 of the family's 1533-position model. The record is from RNAcentral.